CAACCCUGAACGAGCAACGCCGCGUGCAGGAAGAAGGUUUUUGGAUCGUAAACUGCUUUUCUCGGAGAAGAGAAUGGACGGUACCCGAGGAAGAAGCCCCGGCUAACUACGUGCCAGCAGCCGCGGUAAUACGUAGGGGGCAAGCGUUGUCCGGAUUUAUUGGGCGUAAAGAGCACGCAGGCGGUCUUCUGCGUUCUGAGUGACAGGUGGUGGCUUAACUGCCACAGUGCUUGGAAAACGGGAAGACUUGAGAACUUCAGAGGGAUGCGGAAUUCCAGGUGGAGCGGUGAAAUGCGUAGAGAUCUGGAAGAACACCAAAGGCGAAGGCAGCAUCCUGGGAAGAAUCUGACGCUGAGGUGCGAAAGCCAGGGGAGCGAACGGGAUUAGAUACCCCGGUAGUCCUGGCCGUAAACGAUGACCACCAGACGUAGGAGGUAUCGACCCCUUCUGUGUCGUCGCUAACGCAUUGAGUGGUCCGCCUGGGGAGUACGGUCGCAAGAUUAAAACUCAAAGGAAUUGACG
This 522-nucleotide ribosomal RNA is filed under the name uncultured bacterium. RNAcentral describes it as "SSU rRNA". It matches the Rfam family "Bacterial small subunit ribosomal RNA", at positions 378 to 915 of the family's 1533-position model. The record is from RNAcentral.